GACGAACGCUGGCGGCGUGCUUAACACAUGCAAGUCGAACGGAAAGGCCCUGCUUUUGUGGGGUGCUCGAGUGGCGAACGGGUGAGUAACACGUGAGUAACCUGCCCUUGACUUUGGGAUAACUUCAGGAAACUGGGGCUAAUACCGGAUAGGAGCUCCUGCUGCAUGGUGGGGGUUGGAAAGUUUCGGCGGUUGGGGAUGGACUCGCGGCUUAUCAGCUUGUUGGUGGGGUAGUGGCUUACCAAGGCUUUGACGGGUAGCCGGCCUGAGAGGGUGACCGGGCACAUUGGGACUGCGAUACGGCCCAGAAUCCUACGGGAGGCAGCAGUGGGGAAUAUUGCACAAUGGGCGGAAGCCUGAUGCAGCAACGCCGCGUGCGGGAUGACGGCCUUCGGGUUGUAAACCGCUUUCGCCUGUGACGAAGCGUGAGUGACGGUAAUGGGUAAAGAAGCACCGGCUAACUACGUG
Molecule: ribosomal RNA, 468 nt
Filed under: uncultured bacterium
Lineage: Bacteria
Description: partial 16S ribosomal RNA
Rfam family: Bacterial small subunit ribosomal RNA
Source: RNAcentral